UGAGGAAUAUUGGUCAAUGGGCGGGAGCCUGAACCAGCCAAGUCGCGUGAAGGAAGAAGGAUCUAUGGUUCGUAAACUUCUUUUGCAGGGGAAUAAAGUGCAGGACGUGUCCUGUUUUGUAUGUACCCUGAGAAUAAGGAUCGGCUAACUCCGUGCCAGCAGCCGCGGUAAUACGGAGGAUCCGAGCGUUAUCCGGAUUUAUUGGGUUUAAAGGGUGCGUAGGUGGUUUGAUAAGUCAGCGGUGAAAGUUUGCAGCUUAACUGUAAAAAUGCCGUUGAAACUGUCGGACUUGAGUGUAAAUGAGGUAGGCGGAAUGCGUGGUGUAGCGGUGAAAUGCAUAGAUAUCACGCAGAACUCCGAUUGCGAAGGCAGCUUACUAAGCUACAACUGACACUGAAGCACGAAAGCGUGGGGAGCAAACA
RNAcentral lists this ribosomal RNA (422 nucleotides) under uncultured bacterium. Its description in RNAcentral is "bacterial SSU rRNA". It matches the Rfam family "Bacterial small subunit ribosomal RNA", at positions 355 to 774 of the family's 1533-position model. The record is from RNAcentral.